AGGGAAUGUGAGAAACUGUUCACUCUGAGGCAACAUCACUGGAGUAGGCUUUCUAGCCAUGGGAGAAAUGAGCAGGCUGUUUACAACAGGAAGACAUUGAAAGCAAGGAGAUGAACCAGCCACGUGUCUGGCUUUGUAGUCUUGCUGAGGCAUUCUUUCCUGAAUGGACCUAGUUCUUCUUCUCAAAUCCUGCUUCCAGCUGUCAAAGUCAACCAGUCCAUCAUUAGCGCGUCAUUAGUGAAUGGGAACGUGACCACCGAGUGUGAGAGCUAACCCGUCAACUGGACUGAGAGAAACCUUGGAGACUGAGCAUACUUCUGGGUUCCACCUCUUAGAGGUUCCACUACCUCCAAAUAGCACCACGGAUGGAG
Non-coding RNA from Peromyscus maniculatus bairdii (prairie deer mouse), 371 nucleotides. Lineage: Eukaryota; Metazoa; Chordata; Mammalia; Rodentia; Cricetidae. The record is from RefSeq and is a predicted model, not a curated record.